GAUGAACGCUGGCGGCGUGCCUAAUACAUGCAAGUCGAGCGAACGGACGAGAAGCUUGCUUCUCUGAUGUUAGCGGCGGACGGGUGAGUAACACGUGGAUAACCUACCUAUAAGACUGGGAUAACUUCGGGAAACCGGAGCUAAUACCGGAUAAUAUUUUGAACCGCAUGGUUCAAAAGUGAAAGACGGUCUUGCUGUCACUUAUAGAUGGAUCCGCGCUGCAUUAGCUAGUUGGUAAGGUAACGGCUUACCAAGGCAACGAUGCAUAGCCGACCUGAGAGGGUGAUCGGCCACACUGGAACUGAGACACGGUCCAGACUCCUACGGAGGCAGCAGUAGGGAGUCUUCCGCAAUGGGCGAAAGCCUGACGGAGCAACGCCGCGUGAGUGAUGAAGGUCUUCGGAUCGUAAAACUCUGUUAUUAGGGAAGAACAUAUGUGUAAGUAACUGUGCACAUCUUGACGGUACCUAAUCAGAAAGCCACGGCUAACUACGUG
This 496-nucleotide ribosomal RNA is filed under the name uncultured bacterium. RNAcentral describes it as "partial 16S ribosomal RNA". It matches the Rfam family "Bacterial small subunit ribosomal RNA", at positions 28 to 507 of the family's 1533-position model. The record is from RNAcentral.